This 460-nucleotide ribosomal RNA is filed under the name uncultured bacterium. Its description in RNAcentral is "partial 16S ribosomal RNA". It matches the Rfam family "Bacterial small subunit ribosomal RNA", at positions 338 to 795 of the family's 1533-position model. The record is from RNAcentral.
CCUACGGGAGGCAGCAGUGAGGAAUAUUGGUCAAUGGACGAGAGUCUGAACCAGCCAAGUAGCGUGAAGGAUGACUGCCCUAUGGGUUGUAGACCUCUUUUAUAUGGGAAUAAAAUGCUCCACGUGUGGGGUUUUGUAUGUACCAUAUGAAUAAGGAUCGGCUAACUCCGUGCCAGCAGCCGCGGUAAUACGGAGGAUCCGAGCGUUAUCCGGAUUUAGUGGGGUUAAAGGGAGCGUAGGUGGAUUGUUAAGUCAGUUGUGAAAGUUUGCGGCUCAACCGUAAAAUUGCAGUUGAAACUGGCAUUCUUGAGUACAGUAGAGGUGGGCGGAAUUCGUGGUGUAGCGGUGAAAUGCUUAGAUAUCACGAAGAACUCCGAUUGUGAAGGCAGCUCACUGGACUGCAACUGACACUGAGGCUCGAAAGUGUGGGUAUCAAACAGGAUUAGAUACCCCUAUAGUC